Molecule: long non-coding RNA, 286 nt
Organism: Physella acuta
Lineage: Eukaryota; Metazoa; Mollusca; Gastropoda; Physidae
Source: RefSeq, a predicted model, not a curated record
CGGUGGUGGAUACAAGGCAAGGUGCUACCGUCUUGAUCUACUACCUGCCUAUAGGGGGAUUAAUCAACCAAAACUUUUCCUGUGGUAUAAAGGGCGCGGCCUUGGGAUGUGUAAUGGAGGAUGACAAUCGGUUACAUCAUGUGUACCUAAAUCAUUCAGCUAUUGUGAUGGAGAGCAAGGAAGACAAGAGCUCCUUCGACUACUACAUCCUACUGUUUGGGUGUGAGAUGCUCAUGUGUGUGCUCAUGCUCAUCUGGACAUUCGCCCUAUUCAUAAAGCACGUGCG